AAGAAAUUGUAGCUGAACUCUGUCUUAUCAACGGGGGACAAGAAAGGUUGGAAGUCAUGAGAUUUUAGAAAGAUCAAGAAAUACAG
Molecule: long non-coding RNA, 86 nt
Filed under: Anas platyrhynchos platyrhynchos (common mallard)
Lineage: Eukaryota; Metazoa; Chordata; Aves; Anseriformes; Anatidae
Description: lncRNA (ENSAPLG00000031038.1)
Source: RNAcentral